RNAcentral lists this long non-coding RNA (2939 nucleotides) under Sinocyclocheilus anshuiensis. RNAcentral describes it as "lncRNA (ENSSANG00000002012.1)". Lineage: Eukaryota; Metazoa; Chordata; Actinopteri; Cypriniformes; Cyprinidae. The record is from RNAcentral.
GCGGGACAAUAGAAUUUUCAAAAACACCCUAGCAACCAAUAGGAAUAGAGCUCGCCUUCCUUUGACUUUUGAGUAAGCGGACGUUGAGAGAAAUGUGCUUAAUGACACCAGCUGAGGUUCUGUUUAUUAGAUAACAUAAUUGUAAUAAUAUUACGUAAUUGCUUCUCUUAUUGUGAACAUUAUUUAUAUUAUUGUCUUCACAAUGAAGCCACACCUCCCAGCCACCCACACGCACACUCACGCAGUGCAUGUCUUUCACACAGGAAAUCAGCAUUGUCUGCAAACUGCCUGUGGCCCAUCAUUCACAUACUCAGGUCUAUCAAGACGAACUUGUUUGACUGAUAUCCCUCAACAAGAUGAUUAAUGAGGAUUGGCUGUGCAGCUCAUUAAAGCUAUGUGAUCUAGUCACCACUUCAGAAUCUGCUCACUCUGAUGACUCUGCGCAGGUCGUAAUCAACAGUGAUUCAUACCCACAACCUGCUUAUAACCUAUCAUCAAUCCAACACACUUUGGAAACAUACAGCCAUUUGCUGGAUGUAACAUUAGAACAGAACUUAGAGCCCAUUCAACACUUUGCACAGACGACUGCCAAAACUAUUAUAGAUUCAGCCAUCAGGAUCAGAGACCCAAGAGAAUCCAUCAAACUGAGAGGGGACGACGUUGAGAUGCUGGCUGAAGAGUUAACUUUACAAGUCUGUUGCAAAGCAUUGGAAGAGAUAGAGAGGCAUCAUUACUCUGAUGAUCCAUCAUCCAAAAGUGUGGACGAUAAAGAGGGGACUUAUGGAAAUGCAUCGGCCCUGUGCUCCUCAGGGUACAACUGUGACAAAAAGUUCACAUCUGAAAUGGAAACAGACAACAAGAUGGAAGAAUAUGAUGACACAUCUACCACAGUAUAUGCUACUUCGUUGAAAAGCAUGGCUAGUCUGGGCUCUAUUGAGUACCCUGAUGCUCCUCCAAGCACCCCUUUACUUCCAGAGAUGAUCAGGAGUCGAGACAGUUUCACAAGGAAGCUCAAGGGAGGACUGGCUAAAGAGUUCCUUCCUUCACCCCCUCCACCGACCCCCAAAGACCACAUGCAACCAUUAAUGGAGAACCAAAUGACAGACGCGUCUGCUGACUUCAUGGUGAGACUGAUGCGCUCACUUUCACUGGAGUGCUGUCAAAAUGGAGGUCUGGAAGAAGACGAGAACGGAGAAGUUGAUGAUAGCGGACUCCAAAAUGAUGUUCCCGGGCUAACUGACUAUGCAGCUCAAAUUUCUGCAGAUAUCCUUCAUUUUAUCACCACAAAUGAGAUAAAAGUCAAGGAUGAGGGUUGUGUGCAAAGCAUGUGGGCUAUUACUGACCAACUGGCGAGUGAAAUUGUCACAACGUCUCUAGCAGAGGUGAUGGCGAGAGGAGAAUGGAAAGUUUUGGAGGAAGAAACAACAUCAUGCUCAAAGUAUAAGGUAGAUGUGGCUCCAGACACAAAGUCUAAGAUCUCUGCAACAGAUGGGGUGAAAGUUUUAGCUAGUGAGCUAAUCAUUAAUGCUAUGGUUCAUACUUUUGCUAAGCUAGGACAGGGUGUGUUUAAACAUGGAACUCAGCCACAUCUUUCGGGCCAAACUGUAGAACCACAGCCAUGGGAAGAAGGAAGAUAUUCAAACACACUGUGUAAAGACUCAAUCAACUCCCACAAAGCCAAACCCUUCAGAUGUUGCAGCGAUAAAUCAGAACUGAACCCUAUUACAGAUGACGCCAUAAAAGUGAAAUCAUCGGUAGACACAUUUGCCAACGACUUUGCAGAAGACGUGCUUCAGCAUUCUGUGUGUUUACUGUUCAACUAUAAGCAAUCUCAGGGAGCAGGAUUUGGCCCAGAGAAAGACAUUAAACCAUGGCUAAUCAAAAUGUGUGCUGGGGAAAGUCCUGUCCAGGAACUGCAGUGUGCUCUACUCUGGGCCGCAGCCUCUCAGAAAGGGACUAAAGCAAUUCAGUUUGAGCUUCCAGACAAAAGCCUUCAACAAAAGCUUUGCAGACUCUCUCAGAGUGCUCGUCUGAAUGGCUGGACGGUGGGUGCUUUGAUGGCUUCUCUCGAUGAGUUUUGUGACAUGCAUCAAGAGACCAGCAGAGGGCCCCAUAAGAGCUCAGAUUCUCUCGUGGAGCAUCUGCAGCACCUGAUUGACAAUGUGCGUUUAAACGGAUCGUGAAGCUUUACCCUUGCAGAACUGGUCAGUGAUCCAUGCAACACCCCCUGAAAUAAAGACGGAAAACGGCAGACAUUAAUCUUCAUCCACACAAUCUUUCACAUCCCAAACAUUAAUAAAAGGAGACAAAGUCAUAACAAAGCAUACACAGUUAUAAUCAAUUUCUCUCUGACCCAUUGAAAAUGAGCCCUUAAAGACGAAACAGCUGCAUGCACGCUGUCUGUUUAUACCAAAAUAAGAUCUGCUCUCCCGGUCCAAGCACUCAAACCACAGCCAUUAUUAGGUAAGCGGAAAUCUGACUACAAAUCAGCUUUGGAAGUUACUACCACCCAAAACACACUGACACAUUCUUGACCAAAGAUCCUGUAUUCUGUAUGUUCCCGUGUUGUUAUUUUCCAAAAAUAUGUCAGUACCUAUAAUAAAGUGUGUCUGAAAAUGAUAAACAGUGAAUGCUGUAUUGUUGAAGCUGUUUUAUGAUGGAGCUGCGGGGGGUGUAACAGGCAGGACUAUUUUACUGCAUGCCAUUAAUACUCCCCAAGCACUGAUACCUAACAUGGCAGGAAUGCGCUUUAGCGAAAACCUGCAUCCCACUCACUCCCACUCUUGGCGACCACAGCUUGAAAAUCAGGGCCACGCACACAAAAUCACACAUACUCAUUCUGUGACCCUCUGCCUCGCUCUAUCAGUCUCCCAGACACGCUCCUUCUUUCACUUUCUCUCUCUCCCGCACACACACGCGCAGGGUGCGAACUACGGGGU